UGCAGUAGAACGCUGAAGAGAGGAGCUUGCUCUUCUUGGAUGAGUUGCGAACGGGUGAGUAACGCGUAGGUAACCUGCCUUGUAGCGGGGGAUAACUAUUGGAAACGAUAGCUAAUACCGCAUAACAAUGGAUGACACAUGUCAUUUAUUUGAAAGGGGCAAUUGCUCCACUACAAGAUGGACCUGCGUUGUAUUAGCUAGUAGGUGAGGUAAUGGCUCACCUAGGCGACGAUACAUAGCCGACCUGAGAGGGUGAUCGGCCACACUGGGACUGAGACACGGCCCAGACUCCUACGGGAGGCAGCAGUAGGGAAUCUUCGGCAAUGGGGGCAACCCUGACCGAGCAACGCCGCGUGAGUGAAGAAGGUUUUCGGAUCGUAAAGCUCUGUUGUAAGUCAAGAACGGGUGUGAGAGUGGAAAGUUCACACUGUGACGGUAGCUUACCAGAAAGGGACGGCUAACUACGUGCCAGCAGCCGCGGUAAUACGUAGGUCCCGAGCGUUGUCCGGAUUUAUUGGGCGUAAAGCGAGCGCAGGCGGUUUGAUAAGUCUGAAGUUAAAGGCUGUGGCUCAACCAUAGUUCGCUUUGGAAACUGUCAAACUUGAGUGCAGAAGGGGAGAGUGGAAUUCCAUGUGUAGCGGUGAAAUGCGUAGAUAUAUGGAGGAACACCGGUGGCGAAAGCGGCUCUCUGGUCUGUAACUGACGCUGAGGCUCGAAAGCGUGGGGAGCGAACAGGAUUAGAUACCCUGGUAGUCCACGCCGUAAACGAUGAGUGCUAGGUGUUGGAUCCUUUCCGGGAUUCAGUGCCGCAGCUAACGCAUUAAGCACUCCGCCUGGGGAGUACGACCGCAAGGUUGAAACUCAAAGGAAUUGACGGGGGCCCGCACAAGCGGUGGAGCAUGUGGUUUAAUUCGAAGCAACGCGAAGAACCUUACCAGGUCUUGACAUCCCGAUGCUAUUUCUAGAGAUAGAAAGUUACUUCGGUACAUCGGUGACAGGUGGUGCAUGGUUGUCGUCAGCUCGUGUCGUGAGAUGUUGGGUUAAGUCCCGCAACGAGCGCAACCCCUAUUGUUAGUUGCCAUCAUUCAGUUGGGCACUCUAGCGAGACUGCCGGUAAUAAACCGGAGGAAGGUGGGGAUGACGUCAAAUCAUCAUGCCCCUUAUGACCUGGGCUACACACGUGCUACAAUGGUUGGUACAACGAGUUGCGAGUCGGUGACGGCGAGCUAAUCUCUUAAAGCCAAUCUCAGUUCGGAUUGUAGGCUGCAACUCGCCUACAUGAAGUCGGAAUCGCUAGUAAUCGCGGAUCAGCACGCCGCGGUGAAUACGUUCCCGGGCCUUGUACACACCGCCCGUCAC
RNAcentral lists this ribosomal RNA (1359 nucleotides) under Streptococcus thermophilus. RNAcentral's name for it is "bacterial SSU rRNA". It matches the Rfam family "Bacterial small subunit ribosomal RNA", at positions 56 to 1400 of the family's 1533-position model. Lineage: Bacteria; Bacillati; Bacillota; Bacilli; Lactobacillales; Streptococcaceae. The record is from RNAcentral.